CCUGUGAUGAUCACCCAAGCCCCAGGCUGUCUUAGCCCCUGGAGUUCAGAAGUCCUCUCUGUAAAGCCUGCCUCCCACUAGGUCAAGAGGAACUAGAGUACCUUUGGAUUUAUCAGGACCCUCAUGUUUAAAUGGUUAUUUCCCUUUGGGAAAACUUCAGAAACUGAUGUAUCAAAUGAGGCCCUGUGCCCUCGAUCUAUUUCCUUCUUCCUUCUGACCUCCUCCCAGGCACUCUUACUUCUAGCCGAACUCUUAGCUCUGGGCAGAUCUCCAAGCGCCUGGAGUGCUUUUUAGCAGAGACACCUCGUUAAGCUCCGGGAUGACCUUGUAGGAGAUCUGUCUCCCUGUGCCUGGAGAGUUACAGCCAGCAAGGUGCCCCCAUCUUAGAGUGUGGUGUCCAAACGUGAGGUGGCUUCCUAGUUACAUGAGGAUGUGAUCCAGGAAAUCCAGUUUGGAGGCUUGAUGUGGGUUUUGACCUGGCCUCAGCCUUGGGGCUGUUUUUCCUUGUUGCCCCGCUCUAGACUUUUAGCAGAUCUGCAGCCCACAGGCUUUUUUGGAAGGAGUGGCUUCCUGCAGGUGUUCCACCUGCCUUCGGAGCCUGCCACCCAGGCCCUCAGAACUGAGCCACAGGCUGCUCUGGCCAGGAGAGAAACAGCUCUGUUGUUCUGCAUUGGGGGAGGUACAUUCCUGCAUCUUCUCACCCCCUCAACCAGGAACUGGGGAUUUGGGAUGAGAUAUGGUCAGACUUGUAGAUAACCCCAAAGAUGUGAAGAUCGCUUGUGAAACCAUUUUGAAUGAAUAGAUUGGUUUCCUGUGGCUCCCUCCAAACCUGGCCAAGCCCAGCUUCCGAAGCAGGAACCAGCACUGUCUCUGUGCCUGACUCACAGCAUAUAGGUCAGGAAAGAAUGGAGACGGCAUUCUUGGACUUCACUGGGGCUGCUGGAUUGGAUGGGAAACCUUCUGGAAGAGGCAGAUGGGGGUCAAACCACUGCCUUGGCCCCAGGAAGGGGCCAUAGGUAGGUCUGAACAACUGCCGCAAGACCACUACAUGACUUAGGGAACUUGAAACCAACUGGCUCAUGGAGAAAACAAAUUUGACUUGGGAAAGGGAUUAUGUAGGAAUAAUGUUUGGACUUGAUUUCCCCACGUCAUAAUGAAGAAUGGAAGUUUGGAUCUGCUCCUCGUCAGGCGCAGCAUCUCUGAAGCUUGGAAAGCUGUCUUCCAGCAGCCUCCGUGGCCUCGGGUUCCUACCGGCUUCUCUGCAUUUGGUCUGCUGAUCAUGUUGCCAUAAUGUGUAUGGAAAGUGUAACACAUUCUUACUGGUUAAAGACGACUACCAGGUAUCUAACUUGUUUAACAUUGAGUUUGUGUGUGUGUGUGUAUGUUUGUGUGUUUUGUAUAUUGUUUACAUUUUGAGAGGUAGCAUUCUGUUUCAAAUGCUUUUUGUUUUUCUGACAGUAUUGUUGACUGGGUCAUAACAUUUUGAGCUGUGGUUUGGUGGAUUUUCAAUUUUUUUUUUUAAAGGUCAUUCGCUGUGCUAUCUUCAAAACCUUGAGUUUGGCCCCCAAUUUUUGGCAUUCAAAUGUUUAAAAGCUAUUUAUCUUGGUUUAUACAAGUUUCCUUUCUCUUCUUUUUGUCAUGGUAUUCUAUUUGGUCUGCAGUUUGAAUGUAGAGAAAGUGGACUGAUCCCCCAAGCGUUGUCUGCCCCCACUCUUUCCUCCUUGGGUCCCGCCAUUCUUUUACUGGGCAGUCGAGGGCAUUGGAGGGGAAGUGACUGCCCUCAGCCUCACUCCCUGGGGCCAUGAAGAAAAGCUAAACAGUCUCAUGGCAUCUCAGAAUAAUGUUGGGUCUCCCAAGAAGAAAGGUGUAAGAAUAACGACAUGGCUGAUUAGGCGAGGCCAGGAUAGGGCUAAGGCCAGGAUUCCUGGCUGGCAUCCAGUCACCCCUUCUCCCAUCCUUCCCCCUCUUCUUCCACAAGUCCGCAGCCGAGACACUGUAGUCUCCCAGCCACAGUGAUGAGUGCCCUGGAGACUCCACUGACCUCUAGAUGAAGGCCCCUGGCCCUGGUUCCUGUUAAUUAACCUCUGGGUCUUUGAGUCCCCCAGCACAAACUUCUUUCCUGUACCCUGCGGCUUGGGGUCACAGGGCAUGCCGGGAAGCCACAGCUGAGGGGCGCAGACUGAAGCAGUGCUCCACCUCUCCUUCUUUAGCUCAGGGGUUGCUGGUCUGUGGCAGGCGCCACGAGUGGCCCCUGUGGCUGUUCUCAGUGGCAGUCUCUUAAGUUCCCACCACAGGCAGCUCUUUAUCCCCUCUCCCUACUUGACUCUUUCUCUUGCCUGUGCUUUUGGCCUCAAACAGGCCUGCUGGUAGCGCUCAGGGCGUGAGGCUACACUCCUGCCCUGCCUUUCCUGUCUUCAUGGUCUGCCAGGGCAUACCUUGGGGAGGUGGACCAAAGACCCAGGACUUUUUGCAGUAGCCAGUCCUACCCCCCAGUUGUCUUUUUACCAAUUCAGGGUGGGAGAGAAAACUGCAGCACCCCAGCAUGUGAGUUACUCAGGUGUUGGGGGCUAGAAGGGACAGUGCGUUUAAACAACACUCAGAGCUCUGGCCUUAAACCUGUGGCCCCCCAAGUCUAGGAGCCUCAUCUCUUCCUGGCAGUCAUGCGGGCAGGAGGUCCUGAAAGGGAAAACCCAUUCAGACAACUGUUCCCCAAUCUACCAGCCAUCUGCAGGGGUCAGUGACCGUGGCCCUCUCCCUCCUCUAGAAUGUGCCACUUAUGAAGAGUGCCCCAUGGGGAAAAGGAGACUCAGCUGUCCCUUGGCAGCUUGUGCCAGUAUCCCAGGGCAGAAGUUUCCACAGGAGCCUCUUGCCCUUGCGCAGAGCCACUGUGAGAGGCGGUGGGAGCCAACACCCUUGGGGGAGGGGGCAGUACUGCUCGGCACAUCCCAGCAUCAGGUCAGAUCAUUGAAAUUAAAAAAUGUGAAUUAAGUUCAUAUCCACCUUUUGGGGAAGCAGGACAAACCACCACCCCACCAAGUGUGUGACUUCUCCAUAUCCCACUGCAGUUUCCAUUUUUUAAAUGGGAAUUUUCAAUCCCCUGUGCUUGUCUAACGUCUGCUUUAAAAAGUUUGAGACCCUGUUACUGUUUGAAAAUGCAUGC
RNAcentral lists this long non-coding RNA (3160 nucleotides) under Homo sapiens (human). RNAcentral's name for it is "non-protein coding lnc-PCGF2-4:1". Lineage: Eukaryota; Metazoa; Chordata; Mammalia; Primates; Hominidae. The record is from RNAcentral.